Molecule: transfer RNA, 82 nt
Filed under: Stackebrandtia endophytica
Lineage: Bacteria; Bacillati; Actinomycetota; Actinomycetes; Glycomycetales; Glycomycetaceae
Rfam family: tRNA
About the family: Transfer RNA (tRNA) molecules are approximately 80 nucleotides in length. Their secondary structure includes four short double-helical elements and three loops (D, anti-codon, and T loops). Further hydrogen bonds mediate the characteristic L-shaped molecular structure. tRNAs have two regions of fundamental functional importance: the anti-codon, which is responsible for specific mRNA codon recognition, and the 3' end, to which the tRNAs corresponding amino acid is attached (by aminoacyl-tRNA synthetases). tRNAs cope with the degeneracy of the genetic code in two manners: having more than one tRNA (with a specific anti-codon) for a particular amino acid; and 'wobble' base-pairing, i.e. permitting non-standard base-pairing at the 3rd anti-codon position.
Source: Rfam by way of RNAcentral
GCGGGAGUGGCGGAAUAGGCAGACGCGCAAGACUUAGGAUCUUGUGUCUUCGGACGUGGGGGUUCAAGUCCCCCCUCCCGCA